UUUUUUUUUUUUUUUUUUUUUUUUUUUUUUUNGGGUCGCACUCGUGGCACAUGGAGGUUCCCAGGCUAGGGGUCUAAUUGGAGCUGUAGCUGCCGGCCUACACCACAGCCACAGCAACACCAGAUCCAAGCUGCGUCUUCGACCUACACCACAGUUCAUGGCAACACCAGAUCAUUAACCCACUGAGCAAGGCCAGGGAAUCAAACCCGCAACCUCAAGUUACCUAGUAGGAUUCGUUAACCACUGAGCCACAACAGGAACUCCGAGAUGGCUUAUUUUCAAUGAUAACAGUAUAUUGAGUAUCUAUAUACAGGACCUGGAUCUAAGUAUUUUAUGUGUUAUACGACUCAGCCUUCACACAAUCCCAUGCAGCAGGUUCCUUUAUCAACCGUCCCAUUUCAAGGAAGAGAAAUGGCACAAAGAGGUCAGAUCACAUACCAGGAUUCAGACCCAUGAGGUCUGGCUCCAGAGCCUUUACUCUUCAUUCUUUUAAUGUUUUGUUAUAAAAUGUUUCAACCCAUAUCAAAGAGUACAAAAAAUAAUUAUCCCCAUAUACUCACAACCUAAAUUUAAUAAUUAUGAUUUGGUGCCAGACUUGCCUCCUAAUUUUUACAGAACUAUUCUGAAAUGAAUUACAGACAACAUGACAUUUAUUUCACCCACAAAUAAGAUAAAAGGCACCUUUUAUUUUUUUUUAUUUUAUUAUUAUUUUUUUUUUUUUUUGUCUUUUUGCCUUUUUUAGGACCGCACCUGAGGCAUAUGGAGCGGCCCAAGAAAUGGCAAAAAGACAAAAAAAAAAAAAAAAGUUUCCCUCUACCAAAACAUGAGUUCUCUGAAGGUCUAAAGAAGAUGAGGGAAAGGAGAUGGAGCUCUGGGUAGAAGGAAAUGCAGAAGAAAGCCAAGAUAGCAGUUCACUUAUCCAGUGCCUCUUUUGAGAUGAUGUGGUUGGGCUGGGUUUAAACAUGCCCUAGGAAAUGAAGGUUUUGGAUAGGUUUCACUGUCUUCUCUACGUGACUCAAAAGAAGAAAAGUUCAAGGAACAUGAGCUGGCAGGAAGAUCAUUUAGUCCUCCACGUGCUCUAAGUGAGCUGGCAGAGCAGCUCUGAUGGAGCCCUGGUUGAGGGCAUUCUCUAGGGCAUUCAGACACAUGACUAAUGACAGGCCAAGGGUGCAAAGCAACAGGCUGAGAGGUGUAGGCUUUUCAACACAGGCCCAGAAAUCCCAGAACCAUGGCCCUUCUUCCGAAAGAAUCUGAGGGCCAAAAUAGUCUGAAGCCACAGCUGACCAUCCAGAUGGCCUCCUCAAGGGAAUUAGAGCCUGUGAUGACCAAGCAAGGAUAUCGGGUCACCUGUCAGGCCAGCAUCAGGGGUCCAAUCAAGCAGUCUAGAGCUGCUGAGACAAAAGUCCUCAGAAGGAUGCAAAGUCUUCAGAGAGCCUGGGCAUAAAGGUCCUAAGACCACUUACCACCUGGUUUCUACCCCUGCUGUUGUCCAGUUAGCUCGGAAUGCUGAAGAUGGAAGAGGCACCGGAGACCCCCUAGCUCACCUCCCUCAUUGGUCUCAGAGAGGGAAAGAGGUUUAACCAACCUCAUCAAUCACAAUGCUGUGCUCAUGAUACCCAGCCCACUGCUCUGUCCUGUUGAACCCAACCACUAGGCACCAUCAUUUGCCUGCUUCUUUUCUUCCUCUCUGCACUUGCCUGGCCUGUCUGGUUUGCCAGUCUCCCAGUUUCUGCCACUUUCACAGGGAAUAUAGUUGCCAUUUUCCCUGGUCAAAUGAGAAACCCCUGCCCAUGACAACUUGGGCUACUCGAGCCCCAGAGCCUUGGAGUGAGAAGAGGGUAAAACACAGAAGUUGUCCUGUGUCCACAGAAGCGGAGAAAUUUUGGUUAAAAAACAACAGCAUACAACUCCACUGCAAAAGCAGCAGAGCAACAGCUCACAGCUGGACUUCCUUUUUUUAUUUAUUUAUUAUCUAUUUCAACUGAUCUUAUUUAAUGCAUCCUUUCUAUAGAAUACCUAGGCCAAUGGUAAAGGAAUUAGCUUUAUUUGGAAAAGGCGAAAGUGACUGGAACUGGCCCUUUUAGGAGGCUGAGGGGACUCAGAAAGCAGAUCCUACCUAGCAAGGCAAGAGGGACACCAGACCCAGUAGAGACCACUCAUUCAAAUAUUCACCAGACAGACACAUGGGCGUCAGCAGUGCAGCCUUGAAUGAAUGAACCUCCACCACCCAUCACCCUCUGGCUGGAGCUCCUUGAAGACAGACUGCACCAUACUCCCCUCUGCACUACUGUGCCUGGGUUUGUGAGAAGUGCUCACUAAAUGCUUUUGCUGGAGGAAUCAACCACACCGCCCUCCUGCGUGCUUACAUGCAUACAAACACAUGUAUACAUGUAAAUAGAAACCUCAUGUAGAUAGAAAUCUCAACAAAGACAGUCUUAAAAGCCCCAUUUAUAAACCUGUUUUCCAAAAAAUUAUUUUUUUUGGGUUUAGGGGUUUUCGUUUUGUUUUGUUUGGGGUUUUUUGUUUGUUUGUUUUUAGUGCCCAGAUUUUUAAAGUUUUAUUGAAGUGUAGUUGAUUCACAAUGUUGUG
Molecule: long non-coding RNA, 2589 nt
Filed under: Sus scrofa (pig)
Lineage: Eukaryota; Metazoa; Chordata; Mammalia; Artiodactyla; Suidae
Description: lncRNA (ENSSSCG00035019490.1)
Source: RNAcentral